This 261-nucleotide long non-coding RNA is filed under the name Homo sapiens (human). RNAcentral's name for it is "LHRI_LNC1793.1". Lineage: Eukaryota; Metazoa; Chordata; Mammalia; Primates; Hominidae. The record is from RNAcentral.
CGGGAGCGCGCCACUCGCCCGCGCAGCAACGGCCUCAAUAGCGCCAGGCCCGCGUCUACAAGAAGCCCGACCAAGGCCGGCGUGGGCGAGGCCUGGCUAGACGCUGACGCACCGCUGGAGCUACUGACCUCGGGACGACUGGCGGACGGUCGCGGGCCUGGAGACCCAGAGCGAGACGGCCUACUUCGUUCUCGAGCCAGCAGAACGGGUUGAACGUGUCGACAACCCCACCCGCCAGUCAGCGGCGCGGGCGUGUUCGAG